This 346-nucleotide ribosomal RNA is filed under the name uncultured bacterium. Its description in RNAcentral is "partial 16S ribosomal RNA". It matches the Rfam family "Bacterial small subunit ribosomal RNA", at positions 338 to 698 of the family's 1533-position model. The record is from RNAcentral.
CCUACGGGAGGCAGCAGUGGGGAAUAUUGGGCAACGGGCGCAAGCCUGACCCAGCAACGCCGCGUGAAGGAAGAAGGCUUUCGGGUUGUAAACUUCUUUUCUGAGGGACGAAGAAAGUGACGGUACCUCAGGAAUAAGCCACGGCUAACUACGUGCCAGCAGCCGCGGUAAUACGUAGGUGGCAAGCGUUAUCCGGAUUUAUUGGGUGUAAAGGGCGUGUAGGCGGGAAGGCAAGUCAGAUGUGAAAACUCAGGGCUCAACCUUGAGCCUGCAUUUGAAACUGUUUUUCUUGAGUGCAGGAGAGGCAAUCGGAAUGUCGUGUGUAGCGGUGAAAUGCUUAGAUAUA